Molecule: ribosomal RNA, 429 nt
Filed under: Chloroflexota bacterium
Lineage: Bacteria; Bacillati; Chloroflexota
Description: Chloroflexi bacterium partial 16S ribosomal RNA
Rfam family: Bacterial small subunit ribosomal RNA
Source: RNAcentral
UGGGGAAUAUUGCACAAUGGGCGCAAGCCUGAUGCAGCCAUGCCGCGUGUGUGAAGAAGGCCUUCGGGUUGUAAAGCACUUUCAGCGGGGAGGAAGGCGAUAAGGUUAAUAACCUUGUCGAUUGACGUUACCCGCAGAAGAAGCACCGGCUAACUCCGUGCCAGCAGCCGCGGUAAUACGGAGGGUGCAAGCGUUAAUCGGAAUUACUGGGCGUAAAGCGCACGCAGGCGGUCUGUCAAGUCGGAUGUGAAAUCCCCGGGCUCAACCUGGGAACUGCAUUCGAAACUGGCAGGCUAGAGUCUUGUAGAGGAGGGUAGAAUUCCAGGUGUAGCGAUGAAAUGCGUAGAGAUCUGGAGGAAUACCGGUGGCGAAGGCGGCCCCCUGGACAAAGACUGACGCUCAGGUGCGAAAGCGUGGGGAGCAAACAGG